UUAACAAAAUUGAUGGCAAUUUGAAUGGUAAUGCUAAAAUCUGCCACCUGUGGUGGGCUGACUCACACAGGCUAAUGGUAGGGCAUUUAGUCCUGCCCAAAUGCAGCUCAUUUAAGACAAUGACAUAUUUUCUGCUUAUACUAACCAUUGUAAAUAUAAAUAUUAAACUUUAUACAGUACAGCUCUCAAUGCAUGAUGUGUUCAGGGAGACACAUUAUGUGUUCGAGGUCAGACAAGCUAGGGUGACAGUCCCAGUAUUCUUCUGUGUAGAAGCUUUGAUAGAUGUUUAUUUUCUUUCAAGCUUGAUGGGCAUGUCAGGAAGGCAUCAGGAAAUUAAGUGCACUGUAAAAUCUUUCGUGUCCUUGCUUGGAAAUGUAUUGCCGUGGAAGCAUCCGUUGGAAAGUGGGGGAAAGCAAUGCAAACACAUUUGUGGAGACAUGCUCACAUGCUUCCCUCUUUUGUCAGUAUAUCAGGCACAGUGGAAUCAUUACAUGUGUUUCUGUUGUUUGGAGCUCUGCAGGGUCACGACACAUCCUUCAAACCUUUUUUUGUUUCCUGAUCGAUGGAGAUGCAGCCACAGUGGAGUGUAAAAUGAUAUUCAUGUAUCUUUUGCCAAGAAAGAAGGGGAGACGAGAGGAAGGAGCUUUGCGAUAAGAGAAAUCAGAACAAGAUUGCUUUUGAUAAAAGAUUGAUGAAGAGGCAUCCAGAGCUUGCAAGAGAAAACAUUUGUGAAAACAAUUGAUGUCAGGAGCUUUGAUAAGACAUGCAAAAAUUUUCAUUUUAAUAUUUAUUGCUUGUUUGGAAAUUGAUAGGCAGCUGCCGCAUGAUGAGGUCAUGAAAGGGUGGUACAUGGGGGCAGUCCAAGACAGAGGCAAAGUAUAGUAUGAUGCCCUCCCCCAUAUGUGGGUGGGAGCUCAUCAUUCUCAGGCCAUGCUUCCAAGGCAGUGGUGGUAACACGUGGGCACUCCUAGUCUAAGACAGGAAAUGGUGAUAGAGUGUCACGCCCUCACUCUCAGAUAGUGAGAAGGAAGGGGAUGCUGACAGCCCUUCAGCUGAUACAGGGGUGCCUGAGGGGCAGAGCCAGGCUGUCGGUUCCCAAGAGAUGGCUGAGGCAGGUCCGACUGAUGUCUCAGAGCAGGCACAGCAGUCUGAGGCAGCAGUGACAGGGACUGACGAACCGGAGGAUGAGCUGUGCAGGCAACCCCCACUGACUCCACAGCAGAGACGGGUCACAAGACGGCAGGCACAUUUGGAAUCCAUCAGGAGAAGUAAGCGCUUCUUGCAGAGGGCUGAUAAGCCUUGAAUCCUUGCCAGCUGAGAGUUAUCAGCUUGGACUAUAAAGCACAUCUACAGCUUGCACUUAGCCGCUGGAAGACAACAUAUGUCAUCCCUAGUGUCGACAGUCUUCAGCCUGAGCCAGGGAGAGAGACAUUUUCGAGCCGUGUUUCGCUUCUGCAAUCCAGACUGGUCUUUUGUUAACCAUCAUCCUAGACUUCCCUACCAGGUGGCCACAUUGCUAACAGAGAGAAAUUCCUAGCUCACUUUGGGCAGUGGGGAGAAGAAAAAAAGAGGUCCACAAGGAGGAGAAAAUGAAUAUGCCCCAGUGGGAUGAAGAAAGGCAGUGGCAAUGGGUGGCCAGGAGGCCCAUGUCUGAUGUCCAUGGUGGUGGGGGCUGGUACUUUCUGUCCACUGUACUGUUUCUUAAGCCCAUACCUGAGCCUGCCACCUCAGUUUGCCUCCUGGAAGGGCUACCCCAGCUGUAUAUAAAUUAACUAAUAAAUAAAAUGUUAACAGACA
Molecule: long non-coding RNA, 1797 nt
Organism: Hemicordylus capensis (graceful crag lizard)
Lineage: Eukaryota; Metazoa; Chordata; Lepidosauria; Squamata; Cordylidae
Exons: 2
Source: RefSeq, a predicted model, not a curated record